CGGGGUAGGGUGGGUCACUGGCCGGAGAGCAACGAUGGCCGGCGGUGGGCUGGCCGCAAGCAAGGGAAGCAGGGGUGCGUGGCUGCGACUUCUUCUUCUUCUCUCUCUUCUUUCUCUUCUUUCUUUCUUUCUUUCUUUCUUCUUCUUUUUUUUUUUUUAAUGAUGAACUGCAACGAGAACGCCGAGGAUCGCAGCUCUGAUACUAAUUGAUAAGACUUUAAAGUCUU
RNAcentral lists this long non-coding RNA (227 nucleotides) under Musa acuminata (dwarf banana). RNAcentral describes it as "long non-coding RNA (MACU_LNC007905)". Lineage: Eukaryota; Viridiplantae; Streptophyta; Magnoliopsida; Zingiberales; Musaceae. The record is from RNAcentral.